CCUACGGGUGGCUGCAGUGAGGAAUAUUGGUCAAUGGACGAGAGUCUGAACCAGCCAAGUAGCGUGAAGGAUGACUGCCCUAUGGGUUGUAAACUUCUUUUAUAUGGGAAUAAAACAGGGUAUGCAUACCCUCUUGUAUGUACCAUAUGAAUAAGGAUCGGUUAACUCCGUGCCAGCAGCCGCGGUAAUACGGAAGGCCCGAGCGUUAUCCGGGUUCAUUGGGCUUAAAGGGAGUGUAGGCGGGCGUUCAAGUCAGCUGGAAAAUCGCGCGGCACACCCGCGCACCGCAGUUGAUACUGGACGCCUUGAGUGCACAACAGGCAGGCGGAAUGCGUGGUGUAGCGGUGAAAUGCAUAGAUAUCACGAGGAACCCCGAUUGCGAAGGCAGCCUGCCGGGGUGCGACUGACGCUGAGGCUCGAAGGUGCGGGUAUCAAACAGGAUUAGAUACCCGUGUAGUC
This 459-nucleotide ribosomal RNA is filed under the name uncultured bacterium. RNAcentral describes it as "partial 16S ribosomal RNA". It matches the Rfam family "Bacterial small subunit ribosomal RNA", at positions 338 to 795 of the family's 1533-position model. The record is from RNAcentral.